Molecule: unclassified non-coding RNA, 242 nt
Filed under: Cladosporium sp.
Lineage: Eukaryota; Fungi; Ascomycota; Dothideomycetes; Cladosporiales; Cladosporiaceae
Description: partial contains 5.8S ribosomal RNA, internal transcribed spacer 2, and large subunit ribosomal RNA
Source: RNAcentral
CGCACAUUGCGCCCCCUGGUAUUCCGGGGGGCAUGCCUGUUCGAGCGUCAUUUCACCACUCAAGCCUCGCUUGGUAUUGGGCAUCGCGGUCAGCCGCGUGCCUUAAAUCGACCGGCUGGGUCUACCGUCCCCUAAGCGUUGUGGAAACUAUUCGCUAAAGGUGGUCUGGUAGUUCACGCCGUGAAAACAAACCAAUUUUUAAGGUUGACCUCGGAUCAGGUAGGGAUACCCGCUGAACUUAA